AUGACAUUUGAAACUCACAAUGUGAAAAAAAUGGAACUUUUGUAAUAUCGAGGAUCCCUCCAUUGACCUUCCUAGAAAAAGGAUCUCUAAUUUCACUAAUACAACAUGAAGAAGGUUAAGAAGUCUCCAAGACAGGUGGCUGCUUACAUAAACAGAACAGUUGGACAAGGUGUGAAAAGCCCAGAUUAAAGCACAUAAGGCAGUCUAUUUCAGAAAGUUAAUCAUCCCUUUCUAAAUUCUUGUUACAGAAAAAACAGUUGCCUAGAAGUGGGGAUUGUGCCACGGCAAAUGAGAAAAUGAACUGACUUGUGCAGGCUACCUGCCUGAAAAAUUAAGCCAUGACAGUUGAGUCACACAUAUUUGAUUAAUUCCAGUGAUUCUGGUUCUUCCCAAACAGAAAACCCAUCAUCACAGUAUAGUGGGUUUUUUUCUAAGGUUUCUCAGGACCAUGAAACAAUGGCCAAAAUUUUGUUCAGCAGGAAAACUGUUGAUUUUUUUCUGAAAAAGCUCAUUGAAUGUAGCUUUAACUUUUAAGAGAAGUACAAGUGAACUUGUAGCUUAUUUGGUGAGGAUAGAAGAGCUUGGAGCUGUGGUAGAUUGCCUUCUUGUGGUUACCAACAGUUUACAGAAGAAAGCCAGUACACUUGUUACUUCUAGUAAAGUGACUGCUUUAAAGCAAAUUUGAAGAGUAUGUAAUAGUUGCUUCAAGCAGUCAUAAAAAGGUGGUGGUCAGAAUUAUCAUCCAAACAGAAAUUAUAAAUGACGGAAAUAUUCUGUUUUAAAACAAAUAAGUGGAUUGUAGGAAAUCCACAGGAAAAUCAUCUUACUUUGGUUCCAGGAUAUACUGGUAUAUGAUGAGAUGCCAUAAAUAAGAAUCAGGAUACAGAUGCUUAUUUAUUACAGUUGCAU
This 909-nucleotide long non-coding RNA is filed under the name Homo sapiens (human). RNAcentral's name for it is "non-protein coding lnc-METTL4-3:1". The record is from RNAcentral. Lineage: Eukaryota; Metazoa; Chordata; Mammalia; Primates; Hominidae.